Molecule: long non-coding RNA, 1199 nt
Organism: Papaver somniferum (opium poppy)
Lineage: Eukaryota; Viridiplantae; Streptophyta; Magnoliopsida; Ranunculales; Papaveraceae
Exons: 4
Source: RefSeq, a predicted model, not a curated record
UCUUUUUCUUCUCUUUCCACAGUUAUCCUUUCUUCCUUUAACCUUUCGAUUAUUAUGCUUCUUCUCCGUAUUUGGAUUUUAACAUUCAUAUAAAUCCAAAAUCAAAACCAUCCGCCACCAUCUUCAUCGCUACCACCAGCAUCUCAGUCGCCACCACAAGUAACACUACUUCCACAACCAUCACCACCAUCACCACCUACCACAUUUUUAAAGGGAAAAUCAAUAGUUUCUUUUUCAAUUCCAGAUCUGGAAAAUAUCUUUAUUUCUCUUCUCUCUCAUCCAUCGCUGCCACCACUACUAUCACCAACAUUUCAGUAUGAAAAUCGAUUUUGAAGAUCGAUAAACAAUCUACAUGAAGAUUAUAUCAAAAGGUGAUUAGUGAAUCAACCAAACCCGGGAGGUGGUCGUGGUGAUGAUUAAUACUCGGUUUUCAGAAUUACAGCACGCUUGUGCUUGACCAUUGAUAUCUUUGUUUUCGGUGGGCAGUCUACUGCCAAGUGGUGGUGAAGGUUUUGGGGGUGCGGAAGUUAUGGUGGCUGAGCCAGUGGGAGUACGAGGAAUCUGCAGGGUUAGGUAAAGGCUAUUUCAAUGAAACAACAAACAUAAACUAGGAUGUCACUAUAGAUAGAAACCUGUAUGUCACAAUAAGUAGGUAUGUUCACUAUAAUACAUGCAUUAUAGUGCACAUUAAAUUGAACUUGUGGUGUAAUGGUAUUACAUCUUACUCCACGUCAGAAGAUGCUUGUUCGAUUCACGUCAGGUUCACUAAUUUUACUACAUCAAUUUUUGGGUUCAACUUUGAUUGUUGACACCAGAUUUUGGGAUCAACUUCGGUUAUUGAUACCAGAAAUCGGGAUCAACUUUAGUUGUUGACGCCAUAUUAUUUUUUUAUUUUAUUUAUUUUAUUUUCUGAUUUUUGUUUUUGGGUUCAACUUCGGUUGUUGACAACAAAAUUUAGGAUCAACUUUGGUUGUUGACGCAUAUUGUUUUUUUUUCCUCUGAUUUUUGUUUUAGGGAUCAACUUUGGUUGUUUAUACCAAAAUUUGGGAUCGAUAUUGGUUGUUGACGCAUAUUAUUAUUUUUACUUUUUCUUUUCUUAUUUUCUUAUUUUUGUUUUUGGGGAUCAAUUUCAUUUGUUGACACCAGAUUUUGGAUCAACUUCGGUUGUUGACGCCAUAUUGUUUUGUUAUGAGUUUUUG